GACGAACGCUGGCGGCGUGCCUAAUACAUGCAAGUUGAGCGAUGAAGAUUGGUGCUUGCACCAAUUUGAAGAGCAGCGAACGGGUGAGUAACGCGUGGGGAAUCUGCCUUUGAGCGGGGGACAACAUUUGGAAACGAAUGCUAAUACCGCAUAACAACUUUAAACAUAAGUUUUAAGUUUGAAAGAUGCAAUUGCAUCACUCAAAGAUGAUCCCGCGUUGUAUUAGCUAGUUGGUGAGGUAAAGGCUCACCAAGGCGAUGAUACAUAGCCGACCUGAGAGGGUGAUCGGCCACAUUGGGACUGAGACACGCCCCAAACUCCUACGGGAGGCAGCAGUAGGGAAUCUUCGGCAAUGGACGAAAGUCUGACCGAGCAACGCCGCGUGAGUGAAGAAGGUUUUCGGAUCGUAAAACUCUGUUGGUAGAGAAGAACGUUGGUGAGAGUGGAAAGCUCAUCAAGUGACGGUAACUACCCAGAAAGGGACGGCUAACUACGUG
Molecule: ribosomal RNA, 497 nt
Filed under: uncultured bacterium
Lineage: Bacteria
Description: partial 16S ribosomal RNA
Rfam family: Bacterial small subunit ribosomal RNA
Source: RNAcentral